AGCGGGUUUUCUGAAGCUAGUGGAACUUUGUAAAGGCAUCGUAGUGUUACCCUGCCUCGCCUCCUUGGUAGAGGUGUAUGGGAAGUCGCGAUCCCUUGGCAGAUGGGUAACAUGACUUGUGGUUAAAGAUGUGCAACCUCUGCAGAGUGUAAAACUGGUAUAUCAGCCGUGCUCACGGUCAAGAGCAGCUCGGACCCUCACAUGAUUAAUUUAUGGAACUAAAUUCAAUUUGUCAUACGCAUUGCAUCGCAGGUGAUGUUGUUACUUUUGUUCUACUAUUUAAUUAGGUUGGUAUUUACUUAUACUUAGUAAUUGCUAAUAAAAAUUUGACCAACUUUAAAAGCAAUGCUCAGCUCUAACCAUCUCCUUUGGUAAGCCUUACACUUCACGUGAGCUCCCACCUUUGGCGAGUUCAUGCACAUUAUUCCCCACAACUUGUUGAGCUAUGAACGUAUGUGAGCUCACUCUUGCUGUCUCACCCCCCCCCACAGGUCAAGAGCAGGUACCGAAGGAUGAGGCGCAUGAAGGAUGCUUUGAUGUGUUCGUGAGAGGUCUAGGCCGUCGUCUCCCAGUCAACUUUAGGUUGCUGGACCGUUGUCUCCUUAUAAUGUAAUUAUUCAUUUUUGUAUAGAACUCCUGAUAUAUAGUAAAGAUGUGACAUUCGAU
Molecule: long non-coding RNA, 666 nt
Filed under: Zea mays
Lineage: Eukaryota; Viridiplantae; Streptophyta; Magnoliopsida; Poales; Poaceae
Description: drought responsive lncRNA
Source: RNAcentral